CCGGGCAGCAGUUUAUUUCACCAUAUAAUUUUAAUUUUAUUUUUUAAGUUCUAGGGAAUAGUGUUCAUUGUGGCAGAGCGUGUCACACCCGACUGGAGGUGCGGACAUUAGUGACAUCCCUCUGCGUCCUCCAUCGGGUACGAGUGGCAGGUUUCCUGCGUCCGGUUCCCACCAUCACCUGCACGGCUUCCUCACUCUGACCCGGGGACGUUUAACCCGACGGCUUCUGCUGACGCUCUGGUUCCAAACAAAACUCUGCAUAAGCUCCUGGGUCCACCUCAUCGUCAAUAUCAUCCAAGUACCAUCACCACCCCGGACACACCUGCUCCAUUUUCUUCACAAUCUGGAAAAAGAGUCUUCUCUUCAAGUCACUCUUUUUU
This is a long non-coding RNA of Myotis brandtii (Brandt's bat), 380 nucleotides long. RefSeq lists it as uncharacterized. Lineage: Eukaryota; Metazoa; Chordata; Mammalia; Chiroptera; Vespertilionidae. The transcript has 2 exons. The record is from RefSeq and is a predicted model, not a curated record.